Molecule: small RNA, 87 nt
Filed under: Epilithonimonas xixisoli
Lineage: Bacteria; Pseudomonadati; Bacteroidota; Flavobacteriia; Flavobacteriales; Weeksellaceae
Description: Chryseobacterium xixisoli Flavo-1 RNA
Rfam family: Flavo-1 RNA
Source: RNAcentral
CAAUAGCCCCGAUAGAAACGGUUACCCCACAGCAAGCGAUGGGAAAAGCUCUGGCGCGAGGAGUAAUAGUGGAUAGCGGGAAAUAGC